This 204-nucleotide unclassified non-coding RNA is filed under the name Hevea brasiliensis (rubber tree). The record is from RNAcentral. Lineage: Eukaryota; Viridiplantae; Streptophyta; Magnoliopsida; Malpighiales; Euphorbiaceae.
AAAAAACAUCACCGACAAAAAUAAAGCCAUUAAACCCGAAUACUAUCGGACCCAAAAAAAGUGUUUGAUCUAACCCGAAUUAAAGUCAAAUUAAUACACUGAGAGAGACGAAAAUGAUUGAUCAUUGCAAUUGUAUUGAUAUUAUCGCGAGAAAAUUAAAAAGAGCCUUCGAAGUAGGAUCUGCUAACGCGGCGUAGAUUAUGU